Molecule: ribosomal RNA, 894 nt
Filed under: Stilbella byssiseda
Lineage: Eukaryota; Fungi; Ascomycota; Sordariomycetes; Hypocreales
Description: LSU rRNA
Rfam family: Eukaryotic large subunit ribosomal RNA
Source: RNAcentral
CAUAUCAAUAAGCGGAGGAAAAGAAACCAACAGGGAUUGCCCCAGUAACGGCGAGUGAAGCGGCAACAGCUCAAAUUUGAAAUCUGGCCCCAGGCCCGAGUUGUAAUUUGUAGAGGAUGUUUCUGGCGAGGUGCCUUCCGAGUUCCCUGGAACGGGACGCCAUAGAGGGUGAGAGCCCCGUACGGUUGGUUGCCGAGCCUCUGUGAAACUCCUUCGACGAGUCGAGUAGUUUGGGAAUGCUGCUCUAAAUGGGAGGUAUACGUCUUCUAAAGCUAAAUAUAGGCCAGAGACCGAUAGCGCACAAGUAGAGUGAUCGAAAGAUGAAAAGCACUUUGAAAAGAGGGUUAAAAAGUACGUGAAAUUGUUGAAAGGGAAGCGCUCAUGACCAGACUUGGGCAGGUUAAUCAUCCGCCGUUCUCGGUGGUGCACUUUGCCUGUCCAGGCCAGCAUCAGUUUGCUCCGGGGGAUAAAGGCUUCGGGAAUGUGGCUCCCUCGGGAGUGUUAUAGCCCGCUGCGUAAUACCCUGGAGCGGACUGAGGUUCGCGCAUCUGCAAGGAUGCUGGCGUAAUGGUCAUCAGCGACCCGUCUUGAAACACGGACCAAGGAGUCGUCUUCGUAUGCGAGUGUUCGGGUGUCAAACCCCUACGCGUAAUGAAAGUGAACGUAGGAGAGAGCUUCGGCGCAUCUCCGACCGAUCCUGAUGUUCUCGGAUGGAUUUGAGUAAGAGCAUACGGGGCCGGACCCGAAAGAAGGUGAACUAUGCCUGUAUAGGGUGAAGCCAGAGGAAACUCUGGUGGAGGCUCGCAGCGGUUCUGACGUGCAAAUCGAUCGUCAAAUAUGGGCAUGGGGGGCGAAAGACUAAUCGAACCUUCUAGUAGCUGGUUUCCGCCGAAG